CAAGCCUGAUCCAGCAAUGCCGCGUGCAGGAUGAAGGCCUUCGGGUUGUAAACUGCUUUUGUACGGAACGAAAAGCCUCUCUCUAAUACAGGGGGGUGAUGACGGUACCGUAAGAAUAAUCACCGGCUAACUUCGUGCCAGCAGCCGCGGUAAUACGAAGGGGGCUAGCGUUGCUCGGAAUCACUGGGCGUAAAGCGCACGUAGGCGGAUCGUUAAGUCAGGGGUGAAAUCCUGGGGCUCAACCUCAGAACUGCCCUUGAUACUGGCGAUCUCGAGUUCGAGAGAGGUUGGUGGAACUCCGAGUGUAGAGGUGAAAUUCGUAGAUAUUCGGAAGAACACCAGUGGCGAAGGCGGCCAACUGGCUCGAUACUGACGCUGAGGUGCGAAAGCGUGGGGAGCAAACA
RNAcentral lists this ribosomal RNA (404 nucleotides) under uncultured Xanthobacter sp. Its description in RNAcentral is "bacterial SSU rRNA". It matches the Rfam family "Bacterial small subunit ribosomal RNA", at positions 378 to 774 of the family's 1533-position model. Lineage: Bacteria; Pseudomonadati; Pseudomonadota; Alphaproteobacteria; Hyphomicrobiales; Xanthobacteraceae. The record is from RNAcentral.